This 425-nucleotide ribosomal RNA is filed under the name uncultured bacterium. Its description in RNAcentral is "partial 16S ribosomal RNA". It matches the Rfam family "Bacterial small subunit ribosomal RNA", at positions 354 to 796 of the family's 1533-position model. The record is from RNAcentral.
GUGGGGAAUCUUGUGCAAUGGGCGAAAGCCUGACGCAGCCAUGCCGCGUGAAUGAUGAAGGUCUUAGGAUUGUAAAAUUCUUUCACCGGGGACGAUAAUGACGGUACCCGGAGAAGAAGCUCCGGCUAACUUCGUGCCAGCAGCCGCGGUAAUACGAAGGGGGCUAGCGUUGCUCGGAAUUACUGGGCGUAAAGGGCGCGUAGGCGGACAGCUUAGUCAGAGGUGAAAGCCCAGGGCUCAACCUUGGAAUUGCCUUUGAUACUGGCUGUCUUGAGUUUGGGAGAGGUGAGUGGAACUCCGAGUGUAGAGGUGAAAUUCGUAGAUAUUCGGAAGAACACCAGUGGCGAAGGCGACUCACUGGCCCAAUACUGACGCUGAGGCGCGAAAGCGUGGGGAGCAAACAGGAUUAGAUACCCGGGUAGUCC